This 793-nucleotide ribosomal RNA is filed under the name uncultured archaeon. RNAcentral's name for it is "bacterial SSU rRNA". It matches the Rfam family "Archaeal small subunit ribosomal RNA", at positions 85 to 879 of the family's 1478-position model. The record is from RNAcentral.
ACGGCUCAGUAACACGUAGUCAAUCUAACCUAUGGACGGGGAUAACCUCGGGAAACUGAGGAUAAACCCCGAUAGAUCAUUAUGCCUGGAACGGUUUAUGGUCCAAACGAUUCGUCGCCGUAGGGUGGGACUGCGGCCUAUCAGCUUGUUGGUGAGGUAAUGGCCCACCAAGGCUAUUACAGGUACGGGCUCUGAGAGGAGAAGCCCGGAGAUGGGUACUGAGACACGGACCCAGGCCCUAUGGGGCGCAGCAGGCGAGAAACCUUUGCAAUGUGCGCAAGCACGACAAGGUUAAUCCGAGUGUUUCCUGCUAAAGGAAUCUUUUGUUAGUUGUAAAACCACUGAUGAAUAAGGGGUGGGCAAGUUCUGGUGUCAGCCGCCGCGGUAAACCAGCACCUCAAGUGGUCAGGAUGAUUAUUGGGCCUAAAGCAUCCGUAGCCUGUUCUGUAAGUUUUCGGUUAAAUCCAUUAGCUCAACUAAUGGGCUGCCGAAAAUACUUGCAGAACUAGGGAGUGGGAGAGGUAGACGGUACUCGGUAGGAAGGGGUAAAAUCCUUUGAUCUAUUGAUGACCACCUGUGGCGAAGGCGGUCUACCAGAACACGUUCGACGGUGAGGGAUGAAAGCUGGGGGAGCAAACCGGAUUAGAUACCCGGGUAGUCCCAGCUGUAAACGAUGCAGACUCGGUGAUGCCCUGGCUUGUGGCCAGUGCAGUGCCGCAGGGAAGCCGUUAAGUUUGCCGCCUGGGAAGUACGUACGCAAGUAUGAAACUUAAAGGAAUUGGCGGGGGAGCAC